ACGGCUCAGUAACACGUGGAUAACCUGCCCAAGGGUCCGGGAUAACCCCGGGAAACUGGGGAUAAUACCGGAUGGAUCACUUAUGCUGGAAUGCUUGGUGGUCGAAAGGUGACGCCCUUGGAUGGGUCUGCGGCGGAUUAGGUUGACGCCGGUGUAACGUACCGGCGUGCCUGUAAUCCGUACGGGUUGUGGGAGCAAGAGCCCGGAGAUGGAUUCUGAGACACGAAUCCAGGCCCUACGGGGCGCAGCAGGCGCGAAAACUCUACAAUGCAGGCAACUGCGAUAGGGGGACAUCGAGUGGCAUCCACCUUGGGUGCCUGUCCCACCGUCUAAAAAACGGUGGUUAGCAAGGGCCGGGCAAGACCGGUGCCAGCCGCCGCGGUAAUACCGGCGGCUCGAGUGGUGGCCGAUAUUAUUGAGUCUAAAGGGUCCGUAGCCGGCUUUGCAAGUCCCCUGGGAAAUCCAGCGGUUUAACCGUUGGGCUUUCAUGGGAUACUACAUUGCUUGGGACUGGGAGAGGUAGGAGGUACUCGGGGGGUAGGGGUGAAAUCCUGUAAUCCCCCGGGGACCAUUGGUGGCGAAGGUGUCCUACCAGAACAGGUCCGACGGUGAGGGACGAAAGCUAGGGGUAUGAACCGGAUUAGAUAUCCGGGUAGUCCUAGCUGUAAAUGAUGCCCGCUAGGUGUCACGGCGGUCGUGAAUCGCCGUGGUGCCGUAGGGAAGCCGUGAAGCGGGCUAUUUGGGAAGUACGGCCGUAAGGCUGAAACUUAAAGGAAUUGGCGGGGGAGCAC
RNAcentral lists this ribosomal RNA (791 nucleotides) under uncultured Methanosarcinaceae archaeon. RNAcentral's name for it is "bacterial SSU rRNA". It matches the Rfam family "Archaeal small subunit ribosomal RNA", at positions 85 to 879 of the family's 1478-position model. Lineage: Archaea; Methanobacteriati; Methanobacteriota; Methanomicrobia; Methanosarcinales; Methanosarcinaceae. The record is from RNAcentral.